UUGUAUUUACUGAUAGACCUUAAAUAACUUGCUGUUGUUCUUUUUCUUUGCAUUAGGAUGCAAAGAAAAAAAAAACUCUCUGCACUUUCUUUGUCGUAGCCCAGAUUGAAUAAGGGAAUAUAUUU
Small nucleolar RNA from Hyaena hyaena (striped hyena), 125 nucleotides. RefSeq annotates it as small nucleolar RNA SNORA31. NCBI's taxonomy places the organism in Eukaryota, Metazoa, Chordata, Mammalia, Carnivora, Hyaenidae. The transcript has a single exon. The record is from RefSeq and is a predicted model, not a curated record.